Molecule: ribosomal RNA, 500 nt
Filed under: uncultured bacterium
Lineage: Bacteria
Description: bacterial SSU rRNA
Rfam family: Bacterial small subunit ribosomal RNA
Source: RNAcentral
AACGAACGCUGGCGGCGUGCGUAACACAUGCAAGUCGAGCGAGAAAGCCCGCAAGGGUGAGUAAAGCGGCGAACGGGUGCGUAACACGUGGGUAAUCUGCCCUGGAGACCGGAAUAACCUUCCGAAAGGAGGGCUAAUGCUGGAUAAGACCACGGGGACUUCGGUCCCUGAGGUAAAAAGGUGGCCUCUGUAUACAAGCUAUCACUCCUGGAUGAGCCCGCGGCCCAUCAGCUAGUUGGUGAGGUAAUGGCUCACCAAGGCGAUGACGGGUAGCUGGUCUGAGAGGACGAUCAGCCACACUGGAACUGAGACACGGUCCAGACUCCUACGGGAGGCAGCAGUGGGGAAUCUUGCGCAAUGGGCGAAAGCCUGACGCAGCAACGCCGCGUGAGUGAUGAAGGUCUUCGGAUCGUAAAGCUCUUUCGGCCGGGACGAAAACGACGUGGCUAACAUCCACGUCCUUGACGGUACCGGGAGAAGAAGCACCGGCUAACUCUGUG